UUAGUUUCAGAUGUACAGCAUAGUUAUUCAAAAAUUUUAUAGAUUACACUCCAUUUAAUGUUAUUAUAAAAUAUUGGCUAUAUUCCCUAUGCUGGAUAAUAACUCCUUGUAGCUUAUUUGCUUUAUCAUAGUAGUUUGUACCUCUUAAUUCCCUACCCCUAUCUUACCCUUCCCCC
Long non-coding RNA from Aethalodelphis obliquidens (Pacific white-sided dolphin), 176 nucleotides. RefSeq lists it as uncharacterized. The record is from RefSeq and is a predicted model, not a curated record. NCBI's taxonomy places the organism in Eukaryota, Metazoa, Chordata, Mammalia, Artiodactyla, Delphinidae. The transcript is spliced from 3 exons.